RNAcentral lists this ribosomal RNA (546 nucleotides) under uncultured bacterium. Its description in RNAcentral is "partial 16S ribosomal RNA". It matches the Rfam family "Bacterial small subunit ribosomal RNA", at positions 355 to 895 of the family's 1533-position model. The record is from RNAcentral.
UGGGGAAUUUUGGACAAUGGGCGAAAGCCUGAUCCAGCAAUGCCGCGUGUGUGAAGAAGGCCUUCGGGUUGUAAAGCACUUUUGUCCGGAAAGAAAUCCUUGGCUCUAAUACAGUCGGGGGAUGACGGUACCGGAAGAAUAAGCACCGGCUAACUACGUGCCAGCAGCCGCGGUAAUACGUAGGGUGCAAGCGUUAAUCGGAAUUACUGGGCGUAAAGCGUGCGCAGGCGGUUUGCUAAGACCGAUGUGAAAUCCCCGGGCUCAACCUGGGAACUGCAUUGGUGACUGGCAGGCUAGAGUAUGGCAGAGGGGGGUAGAAUUCCACGUGUAGCAGUGAAAUGCGUAGAGAUGUGGAGGAAUACCGAUGGCGAAGGCAGCCCCCUGGGCCAAUACUGACGCUCAUGCACGAAAGCGUGGGGGAGCAAACAGGAUUAGAUACCCUGGUAGUCCACGCCCUAAACGAUGUCAACUAGUUGUUGGGAUUCAUUCCUUAGUAACGUAGCUAACGCGUGAAGUUGACCGCCUGGGGAAUACGGUCGCAAGAUU